GAUCAUGGCUCAGGAUGAACGCUAGCGACAGGCUUAACACAUGCAAGUCGAGGGGCAGCGGGGGAUAAGCUUGCUUUUCCUGCCGGCGGCCGGCGCACGGGUGAGUAACACGUAUGCAACCUGCCCCUGUCAGAGGGAUAAUCCGGAGAAAUCCGGUCUAAUAUCGCAUAAAGCGUUUGCGGGGCAUCCUGCGAGCGCCAAAGGAGUAAUCCGGACAGGGAUGGGCAUGCGGCG
RNAcentral lists this ribosomal RNA (234 nucleotides) under uncultured bacterium. Its description in RNAcentral is "partial 16S ribosomal RNA". It matches the Rfam family "Bacterial small subunit ribosomal RNA", at positions 15 to 238 of the family's 1533-position model. The record is from RNAcentral.